Molecule: ribosomal RNA, 840 nt
Filed under: Micrococcus luteus
Lineage: Bacteria; Bacillati; Actinomycetota; Actinomycetes; Micrococcales; Micrococcaceae
Description: bacterial SSU rRNA
Rfam family: Bacterial small subunit ribosomal RNA
Source: RNAcentral
UGAGGGAUGACGGCCUUCGGGUUGUAAACCUCUUUCAGUAGGGAAGAAGCGAAAGUGACGGUACCUGCAGAAGAAGCACCGGCUAACUACGUGCCAGCAGCCGCGGUAAUACGUAGGGUGCGAGCGUUAUCCGGAAUUAUUGGGCGUAAAGAGCUCGUAGGCGGUUUGUCGCGUCUGUCGUGAAAGUCCGGGGCUUAACCCCGGAUCUGCGGUGGGUACGGGCAGACUAGAGUGCAGUAGGGGAGACUGGAAUUCCUGGUGUAGCGGUGGAAUGCGCAGAUAUCAGGAGGAACACCGAUGGCGAAGGCAGGUCUCUGGGCUGUAACUGACGCUGAGGAGCGAAAGCAUGGGGAGCGAACAGGAUUAGAUACCCUGGUAGUCCAUGCCGUAAACGUUGGGCACUAGGUGUGGGGAACAUUCCACGUUUUCCGCGCCGCAGCUAACGCAUUAAGUGCCCCGCCUGGGGAGUACGGCCGCAAGGCUAAAACUCAAAGGAAUUGACGGGGGCCCGCACAAGCGGCGGAGCAUGCGGAUUAAUUCGAUGCAACGCGAAGAACCUUACCAAGGCUUGACAUGUUCUCGAUCGCCGUAGAGAUACGGUUUCCCCUUUGGGGCGGGUUCACAGGNGGUGCAUGGUUGUCGUCAGCUCGUGUCGUGAGAUGUUGGGUUAAGUCCCGCAACGAGCGCAACCCUCGUUCCAUGUUGCCAGCACUUCGGGUGGGGACUCAUGGGAGACUGCCGGGGUCAACUCGGAGGAAGGUGGGGACGACGUCAAAUCAUCAUGCCCCUUAUGUCUUGGGCUUCACGCAUGCUACAAUGGCCGGUACAAUGGGUUGCGAU